AUUGAACGCUGGCGGCAGGCCUUACACAUGCAAGUCGAGCGGAGCGGCGGACGGGUGAGUAAUGCCUCGGAAUCUGCCUGGUAGCGGGGGAUAACGUCCGGAAAGGGGAGCUAAUACCGCAUACUAUCAGAUGAGCCUAGGUCGGAUUAGCUAGUUGGUGGGGUAAAGGCUUACCAAGGCGACGAUCCGUAGCUGGUCUGAGAGGAGGAUCAGUCACACUGGAACUGAGACACGGUCCAGACUCCUACGGGAGGCAGCAGUGGGGAAUAUUGGACAAUGGGCGAAAGCCUGAUCCAGCCAUGCCGCGUGUGUGAAGAAGGUCUUCGGAUUGUAAAGCACUUUAAGUUGGGAGGCGUUACCAACAGAAUAAGCACCGGCUAACUACGUGCCAGCAGCCGCGGUAAUUC
This 407-nucleotide ribosomal RNA is filed under the name uncultured bacterium. RNAcentral describes it as "partial 16S ribosomal RNA". It matches the Rfam family "Bacterial small subunit ribosomal RNA", at positions 30 to 526 of the family's 1533-position model. The record is from RNAcentral.